GAGAGCCGGAUACGCUGAAAGGUGUAAGUCCGGUUCGGAGGGGGGCUGACGGGUGAUCCUUUACGGGACGCCCGCAGCCUACCCUAC
Bordetella petrii is the source of this 87-nucleotide non-coding RNA. Lineage: Bacteria; Pseudomonadati; Pseudomonadota; Betaproteobacteria; Burkholderiales; Alcaligenaceae. The record is from Rfam.